AAUAUUUGACGCCAUUGACUUUUUUAAACAUGUUUGACCGUUCGUCUUAUUGAAAAAAAUUAAGUAAUUAUUAAUUUUUUUCCUCUUGUUUGAUUAAUUGUUAAAUAUAAUUUUAUGUAUGCAUAUAGUUUUAUAUAUUUCACAAAAGUUUUUAAAUAAGAUGAAUGGUCAAACAUGUUUAAAAAAGUCAACGGCGUCAAAUAUU
Molecule: microRNA precursor, 205 nt
Filed under: Oryza rufipogon (brownbeard rice)
Lineage: Eukaryota; Viridiplantae; Streptophyta; Magnoliopsida; Poales; Poaceae
Description: MIR812 microRNA precursor family
Rfam family: MIR812 microRNA precursor family
Source: Rfam by way of RNAcentral